This 245-nucleotide ribosomal RNA is filed under the name uncultured bacterium. RNAcentral's name for it is "partial 16S ribosomal RNA". It matches the Rfam family "Bacterial small subunit ribosomal RNA", at positions 524 to 763 of the family's 1533-position model. The record is from RNAcentral.
UACGUAGGGCGCAAGCGUUGUUCGGAAUUAUUGGGCGUAAAGGGCUCGUAGGCGGGUCGGCAAGUCUGACGUGAAAUCUCCACUGCUUAACAGGGAGAGGCCGUUGGAUACUACCGACCUUGAGUAUGGUAGAGGACUGUGGAAUUCCGCGUGUAGCGGUGGAAUGCGUAGAUAUGCGGAAAGAACGACCGGUGGCGAAGGGCGGCAAUCUGGGCCAUAACUGACGCUGAGGGAGCGAAAAGCCA